GACUGACUUACUGACUUACUGACUGAAGGGCGGGCGGGCGCAGACUGACUGACUGACUUACUGACUGAAGGGCGGGCGGGCAGGCGGGCGCAGACUGACGGGUGGGCGGGCGGGUGCAGACUGACUGACCGACGGGCGGGCGGGCGCAGAUUGACUGGCGCCGACUGACGGGCCGACUGACGGGAGGGCGGGUGCAGACUGACGGACGGACGCGCGGGCGGGCGGGCACAGACUGACGGACGGACUGACUGCCGGCCUGACGGCGGGCUGCGCGCGCCCGCGAGGCGCCCGGCCCAGCUCCCCGCACCCCCGCCUUCCGGCGCCCGCUGCCUCCUGCCUCCCCCUCUAGUCGGACCCGCGCGGCCUGGCGAGGACGCCGAGAGAACCUUCGAGAGCUUUCCAGAACCUUCGAGAUUCCCGCGGUGCCCGUGAGGGAGGCGCUUCUGGCCGAGGGCCGGCCAAGCUUGGGGCGCGGAGUGGCGGCGUGUGCCCUCCCGGGCGGACGGUCCCCUGGCCUCGCUUCUUUGCGGAGUCGUCACUGUGACGUCCCUUUUGCCCGACGCGGGGCCACGCACCGCCUGCUUGGUUUCUGGCGCGCCUCCGUCACCUCAGAUGUGCGGGUGGCGCCCCGGGGUCCCUGGUGUCCCCAGGCCGUGCGGCCCCCUGCUCCCGGGGUGGCCUGUGACCGCUGGCCUGACAGGGGGAGGCCGUGCUGGGGGAGGACAGGCACCCCGGGGUGCGCCCCCGUUGUCACCUCGCUGUGGUUCACGUCCGGGAGCCAUCUCGCUGCCCGUGUCGCCGUCUCACGUUAACCAGGACGACCGUGCCGCGAGAGCAGCUCUGCCACCGGCCCGCAGCAUCCAGCGCCGGGUACGUGUCAGGGGACAGAGGUGACCGUGCGGUGUCCAUCUGGUGGGAGCCGUCGGGCCCCUCGGUGUCCGGCAGUGGAGGCACGGUGGCCACACGAGGACAGAGCCACGUCGCUGCGCGUCCGAGUCCGGAGAGAAGCGUUUCUGGUGCGUUUCCAGCAGAGGGGCAGAUUUUGUUUUUUUUGCUGAGAAAGACUGGCCCCGAAUGCGGCGUGCUGCCUGCGUGUUGGUGUGUGAGGUGCCGCCACAGCAUGGCUGUCGGGCGGGGAAGGCCCAACCCGUGAACCUGGGCCACCGAUGCGGACGUGGGACCUCACGGCUCGGCCGCCGCCCCGGAGGCAGCUUCUCGGGCCGCAUGCGUCUCGGUGACCUGGGACGCCUGUGCAUCCUCCGGGCGGGCCUGUGAGUGACCGUGGGGACGGCCGGGUGUGCGCGGAGGCGACAGCCAUGGUAGCACGCCGUGACCGUGCGCUCUGUGCCCGCCGCAGCCCCGAGCGGGCAGUGUGACAGUUGGCCGCAGUGUUCCCGCUGUCCCUGCACGACAGGGCCCCACCGAGCCUGUCGGCGCAGCCAGCUCAGCCUGCGGGUCUGGGCCCCGAGCCGCUCUCGCCCCGCGGCCUCUGCACGCGCCCCCGGCCCCCGGGGAGCCAACCUGGCACUCGACCUGUCACAUGGCGCUCAGGCUCCGAGGGCACGGCGGGGACACUGCCAGGCCUCCUUCCCGCCACGUCUCCUGCUGAGGGUGGGCCACGAGCCAGCUCAGACGGAGGGAGAGGCUUCGCCCAGCAGACGGGGCUCGCGGACCACUGCCUCUUACGGACGAGGGGACCGAGGCGGAGGGCGGCCAGGCCCCUGGUCCGGGGCACAGCGGGGACGGGAAACCGAGUCCCGCUUCAGAGCCCGGACCCGUCAGCGAGCCCAGGUUCCAACAGAGCCAACUCGGGUGCGGUGUGGCUGGCGUGGGAGUGCCCUGUGGGGCUGUGACCGAGAAUGGCAAGCUGGUGGCUCCGGAACACAGCUGUUUAUGAGCUCACGGUUCUGCAGGAUCUGCGACCUCGCGUGGGCGGGGCUGCGCCCUCCCGGGGCCCUGGCGAUCCUGGGCUCGGGGACACAUCCUCCCGUCUCCGCCUCGGCCUUCACGUGGCCUGCCUUCUCCUCCAUGGCCGUGUCUGUCCGCUUCCUGCAGGGACGCCCGUCACCGCACGAGGGCCGUCCCACUCCAGCUCAACCACGCCUCCGCUGAGGACGUCCGCAGAGACCCUGCUUCCAGCGAGGUCCCCGUCUGAGGUUCCGAGUGGACGUGAAUUGUGGGGGGACGCCGUUCAGUCCAGCCCAGCCAGCGGUCAGUCCCGACCCGCAGGGAGCUUGUCGCCGCAGCGCUGCCUCGCUGAUUCCCGCCGUACAGUCAUUAUUCGUCUACCUGCUCGCCUCCCCGGGACGCCGACCCCCUGCAGAGGGGAGCGC
RNAcentral lists this long non-coding RNA (2333 nucleotides) under Equus asinus (donkey). RNAcentral's name for it is "lncRNA (ENSEASG00005029798.1)". Lineage: Eukaryota; Metazoa; Chordata; Mammalia; Perissodactyla; Equidae. The record is from RNAcentral.